This 865-nucleotide ribosomal RNA is filed under the name uncultured archaeon. RNAcentral's name for it is "bacterial SSU rRNA". It matches the Rfam family "Archaeal small subunit ribosomal RNA", at positions 1 to 872 of the family's 1478-position model. The record is from RNAcentral.
UCCGGUUGAUCCUGCCGGACCCUACUGCUAUCGGGAUGGGACUAAGACAUGCUAGUCGUGCGCCUCCCCAUGGUGGAGGCGCGGCGCACAGCUCAGUAACACGUGGUUAACCUGCCCUCGGGACGGGAACAGCCGGGAAACUGGCGAUAAUUCCAGAUAGGUGGGGGACGCUGGAAUGCCUCCUUGCCUAAAUCCUCUGGGGCCCGAGGAUGGGACUGCGGCCUAUCAGGCUGUUGGCGGUGUAACGGACCACCAAACCUACAACGGGUACGGGCGAUGGGAGUCGGAGCCCGGAGAUGGGGACUGAGACAAGGCCCCAGGCCCUACGGGGCGCAGCAGGUACGAAAACUCCGCAAUGCGCGAAAAGCGUGACGGGGGAACCCCAAGUGCCGUUGGUCUUUGAUCGACGGCUUUUAGGGAGUCUAAGAAGCUCCCGGAAUAAGGGCUGGGCAAGUCGGGUGCAGSCGCCGCGGUAAUACCCGCAGCCCAAGUGGUGGUCGCGAUUAUUGGGCCUAAAGCGCUCGUAGCCGGGUCAGCAAGUCCCUUGUGUCGGGCCCUAACCGUUCGGCUUGCAAGGGAUACUGUUGGUCUUGAGGCCGGGAGACGUCUGAGGUACUCCGGGGGUAGCGGUAAAAUGCUGUAAUCCUCGGGGGACCACCAGUGGCGAAGGCGUCAGACGAGAACGGACCUGAGGUGAGGGGCGAAGGCUAGGGGAGCGAACGGGAUUUACCCCGGUAGUCCUAGCUGUAAAGCAUGCGGGCCAGGUGUUGGUGUUCCUUGAGAGCACCAAGUGCCGGAGAGAAGUCGUUAAGCCCGCCGCCUGGGAAGUACGGUCGCAAGGCUGAAACUUAAAGGAAUUGGCGGG